ACACCAAACCCAGCAAGUCACUCACACAAGCCCCGAAAAUAAACCAUCAUCUUUAGUCUUCUUAGAAGAAACUCUUGAAGAUAAGGUGUGGAAGGCUUUCAUGACUACUCACAAAGGAGAUUGAGUGAAUGCAGGAAUAUUCUUUAGAAUGAAAACAACCCCUAUCCAAAUCUUUAACAAAGAUCAGAUUGAGCUGGAACUUGGAAGCUAGUUUCUAUUAGGCAGAUGGACUGAGAAUGAAUAACAGCAUUUCCCAUUAGAGGAGGGAAAGAGAAAAAUCAAGGUGAAUAAAGGAAAAAGAAUCCAUUUUGCCUAAGGUUACUAUGAGUCAGGAAAAAAAAAAAAGAGGAUUAAGCUCAAGGUGAUAUGACUACUAAUCUUUGGCUUUAAUAACUGAACUGCAGCAGGUCCCACCUGGGCUCAGGGUUCUUGCUUGUCAUUUAGACAAGUAAUUGAAUAAAAGCUAAAGCAAAGAAUCAAUCCUCAUUCUUGUUACAUUUAGGGGGAUUUCUUAUCAUGGAUCUAAAUGUGACAUAAAACCUUAAUGAAUCUCAUCAGCAGUAGGAUAUGUUCUACAUGCUGA
This is a long non-coding RNA of Vidua macroura (Pin-tailed whydah), 583 nucleotides long. RefSeq lists it as uncharacterized. The transcript has 4 exons. Lineage: Eukaryota; Metazoa; Chordata; Aves; Passeriformes; Viduidae. The record is from RefSeq and is a predicted model, not a curated record.